UCUCAAAUGUACUUAUUGUCUUUGCUGACCUCCAAUCUCCCCUCUCCCACUACCUAUUAAACACCUCAAACCGGAUGUCCUCUAGACAUCUCAAACUCACCAUGUUCAAAACUGAACUUACCUUUCCCCCUGAAACCCUCUCUUCUUUCUAACUUCCCUAUUACUUUUGAGAGCACCAUCAUCCUCCCAGUCACCCAGACUUGUAAGCAAGAUACAAUUAUCAACUCCUCACAAAAAAGGUCUUCAGGUCUCAAAAGGUCUAGACUCACUUGCCUUAUCAGCUGACUAACGUGAUGUUGCAUGAUCAUACGAUAUACCUUAACUGAAGUAAUCUAGCCCUGGCAGCUGUUAAACCAGGAAGACUCAGAAUGUUGGAAGUAACUAUGUCAACUGAGAGGACUUGCCCAGAGUUAAUAGGACCUAUGAUGCCCAUUGACUUAACUUUUAUUGGAACCCUGCCCUGGAACCUGGGACUCUUACAUCUUCCUGUUGUGGAUGAUGGUGAUUGGAGCUGAGGGAAUGAGUCUGAGACUUCCUGAAGCUGAGGGGUCUUUUGGGUGAGACCAGACCACAAGAGGCAGUUGGGACCAUUUUUCUUUCCCCUUGCUCAUUGAUAGGAUCUUAACACAAAGUCCUCUGUCCCCUACCUUAACUGUUAGACAUUUACUUCAUUCUCCACUUCUGAGAAAAGCGAUUUGUCCUUCCCUGGCUAUUAGACAAAAAUGGAUUGUAUCUAAGCUUUUGUUUUCUAACUGUUAUCUUUAAACUCUUAUGCAUUUCAUCUUUUGAUAUAAAACUAGUGGC
This 804-nucleotide long non-coding RNA is filed under the name Vombatus ursinus (common wombat). Its description in RNAcentral is "lncRNA (ENSVURG00010010767.1)". Lineage: Eukaryota; Metazoa; Chordata; Mammalia; Diprotodontia; Vombatidae. The record is from RNAcentral.